GGCCUGGUGGCGGAGGGGCGACGCGCCGGACGUGCAUGUCCGGAGACCCUCCGUUCGACCCGGAGGCCAGGCCUCCA
Molecule: transfer RNA, 77 nt
Filed under: Brevundimonas bullata
Lineage: Bacteria; Pseudomonadati; Pseudomonadota; Alphaproteobacteria; Caulobacterales; Caulobacteraceae
Description: tRNA-Ala
Source: RNAcentral